Molecule: small nucleolar RNA, 69 nt
Organism: Scleropages formosus (Asian bonytongue)
Lineage: Eukaryota; Metazoa; Chordata; Actinopteri; Osteoglossiformes; Osteoglossidae
Gene: SNORD30
Rfam family: Small nucleolar RNA SNORD30
About the family: U30 is a member of the C/D class of snoRNA which contain the C (UGAUGA) and D (CUGA) box motifs. U30 is encoded within the U22 snoRNA host gene (UHG) in mammals and is thought to act as a 2'-O-ribose methylation guide for ribosomal RNA.
Source: Ensembl
AAUGAUGAUCACUCUGUUUGGAAUCUCGUUCGUCUGAAUUCCUGAUGAGAAUUUGUUAUGCUGACUGUU